CUUCAUAUACAACUUCAUCACCCUGCAUUACAACUCAACAAAAGCACAAUGAACACAGUCAGAUCAUAGCAACAUGAAACUUUAUGAACUCAAUCUUACAACAUAAAUAGCAAGAGAAGCCAAUAAACUGCUACUUACCAUAAUAAUUAAUAAUUACAUGUAGUCAUGUACUUUUUUUGCCCCAAUAUACAUUUUCCAAACAAUUCACCAAAACAUUGAUUACAGGAACAGAAAAUAAUCAAACACAAUACAACUGAAAUUAUUCAUAAAAUUAAAAUCAUCUUUCUCUCUCCAUUUUUCCUUUAUUGCAUUCAUUUUAUUAAUAUACACAUUGAACAGAGAUGGUGAGUUUAUGAGCAUACCCUCUCAAAAUUAUCUUUCUCUCUCCAGUUUUCCUUUGCAUUCAUUUUAUUAAUAUAUAUAUUGAACAAUUGGAACAGGAAAAUUCAGAGAAAAUAAUAAAUUAAUAAAAUAUGAAGAAAAAAGACUUACGGCUAGAUUAUCACCAGGGGUAGUUGUCUACCUGGAACGGGAUCCCGUGCGGCGGAAUAUGGAUCCCGUUCUCCUCGUAAUCGUCGUCGAUCUCCGUUCGACGAUUCUCUUUGCAGGCGUUAUCUUCUUGCCGACCUUCGGCUUCUUCUGGGCUGCCGCCGCCGCCGCUUCACGUCUUCCGCCGACGCAGGAAGAAAUUUUCGAUCGGGUGGCGGAGAAGAACGGGUGGUGCUCCGACGAUGUGAAGCUACGCAGACCGCCGUUCUCCACCAUGAUUCCCGCAACCUUCGCCGCUGCUCUCAUCGCGCCGCCUCCCAUGUUAUUUU
Molecule: long non-coding RNA, 818 nt
Filed under: Erythranthe guttata (spotted monkey flower)
Lineage: Eukaryota; Viridiplantae; Streptophyta; Magnoliopsida; Lamiales; Phrymaceae
Description: long non-coding RNA (EGUT_LNC003117)
Source: RNAcentral